UCCAGACUCCUACGGGAGGCAGCAGUGGGGAAUAUUGCGCAAUGGGGGCAACCCUGACGCAGCAACGCCGCGUGAUUGAAGAAGGCCUUCGGGUUGUAAAGAUCUUUAAUCAGGGACGAAAAAUGACGGUACCUGAAGAAUAAGCUCCGGCUAACUACGUGCCAGCAGCCGCGGUAAUACGUAGGUGGCAAGCGUUAUCCGGAUUUACUGGGUGUAAAGGGCGUGUAGGCGGGACUGCAAGUCAGAUGUGAAAAUUAUGGGCUCAACCCAUAACCUGCAUUUGAAACUGUAGUUCUUGAGUGAUGGAGAGGCAGGCGGAAUUCCGUGUGCAGCGGUGAAAUGCGUAGAUAUACGGAGGAACACCAGUGGCGAAGGCGGCCUGCUGGACAUUAACUGACGCUGAGGCGCGAAAGCGUGGGGAGCAAACAGGAUUAGAUACCCCCGUAUA
Molecule: ribosomal RNA, 448 nt
Filed under: uncultured bacterium
Lineage: Bacteria
Description: bacterial SSU rRNA
Rfam family: Bacterial small subunit ribosomal RNA
Source: RNAcentral